RNAcentral lists this long non-coding RNA (211 nucleotides) under Capsicum annuum. RNAcentral describes it as "long non-coding RNA (CANN_LNC013038)". The record is from RNAcentral. Lineage: Eukaryota; Viridiplantae; Streptophyta; Magnoliopsida; Solanales; Solanaceae.
UUCUCCACAAUAUAACCUACACACAACCUCACAUUUCCAUUAACAGAGCACGCAAAAACGCACACACACCACUGCCAUAUACAAGUCAUCACUAUCAUAUACUAUACCUUACUGAUUCACACACAUGGACGCAUACAGAACACACUAGUGAGAGGGAGAGAUGGAAAGAUAAGGGAGGUAACAAGAAGAGUGAGAGAUAGAGAGAAACAGA